GCGGGUGUCGUAUAAUGGUAGUACAAAGGUCUCCAAAACCUUUUGCGUGGGUUCGAUUCCUACUACCCGCGCCA
Molecule: transfer RNA, 74 nt
Filed under: Patescibacteria group bacterium
Lineage: Bacteria
Description: tRNA-Trp
Rfam family: tRNA
About the family: Transfer RNA (tRNA) molecules are approximately 80 nucleotides in length. Their secondary structure includes four short double-helical elements and three loops (D, anti-codon, and T loops).
Source: RNAcentral